AUGGAGAACCUGAUCUCGCUUGUCAAUAAGCUGCAACGCGCCUGCACGGCGCUCGGCGACCACGGAGAGGAGAGCGCCCUCCCCACCCUCUGGGACUCGCUACUGUCCAUUGCCGUCGUCGGAGGCCAGAGUGGUUCAAGCGCAUCUCAGUACAAGUGGGUAUACAAUUACCAGAUGCGGUUCUGUAUUUUGACAUUUGAACUCCUUUGGCACACUGUAGAGUUCGGGCAAAUCUUCAGUGCUGGAGAGCAUUGUUGGAAAGGAUUUCCUGCCCAGGGUUCAGGCAUUGUCACCCGUCGCCCACUGGUUCUGCAACUCCAUAGGAUUGAUGGGGACAGGGAGUAUGCAGAGUUCAUGCAUGUCCCCAGGAAGAGAUUCACCGAUUUCGGUAAUUCCUCUAUUCUUUGUCUUAUUUCCAAGUGCUAUGUUGCUGAUGAUAUUAAGAUUGAUGCAUGA
RNAcentral lists this ribosomal RNA (456 nucleotides) under Triticum aestivum (bread wheat). Its description in RNAcentral is "partial small subunit ribosomal RNA". Lineage: Eukaryota; Viridiplantae; Streptophyta; Magnoliopsida; Poales; Poaceae. The record is from RNAcentral.